This 5106-nucleotide long non-coding RNA is filed under the name Solanum tuberosum (potato). RNAcentral's name for it is "long non-coding RNA (STUB_LNC006762)". Lineage: Eukaryota; Viridiplantae; Streptophyta; Magnoliopsida; Solanales; Solanaceae. The record is from RNAcentral.
UCCCUUACAUUCAAAUUUACAUACAUUUUCCUGCUUUUGCUGAAUUGGUUAAUUAAUUUUAACCGUAUAGAGGUAGGUGGUCAACCGUACAAAUACAAGUCAAAGAACAUACUAUGUAACUUUAAAAAUAAAAUAAAAAUGGUUAUAGUUAUUGUCUCCAUUAACAGAAAGUAGUACUUCCUCCGUUCCAAAAAGAAUGACUUAGUUUUCUUUUUAUUCUGUUUAAAAAAGAAUGACCCUUUUCUUUUUUUGGCAAUAUUUAACUUCAACUUUCCACGUGAUAUGUUUAAUGCCACAAGAUUAAAGGACAUUUUGGUAUAUUUGACAUAACUUUAAUUUAGAACCAUAAGAUAAAAAAGUCUUCUUUACUUUUCUUAAACUCCGUUUCAAAUCAAACUAGGUCAUUCUUUUUUAAACGGAAGGGAUAUUUAAUUUGGAAAUCCAGCAGCUAAUUUAGUUCUCAAGUCCUUUCUAAGGAUUUUGCCAGAUGGAGAUUUAGGAACAUCAUCCGCUAAAAAUACCCUCUUUAUCCUCUUAUAAAAUAUCACCUGAAAAAUCAAUAAAUUAGAAACCCAUUUUAUGAUAUAAAUGUUCUAUUAGGUAAAACUACAUAGUAAUUAUAUCAAGGGAAGGUCCACAAUAUAUUUAUUUUUAUUACACGGGGAGGCGGGGAGCAGGAGAAGGGAAACUAGAGAGGGAAUUACAAGGUGAGGACUGAGGAACAAACCCCCGCCAAUAAAAUAAAAAAUUAGAUAAUCGACCAACUAAGCUACUAAUCUCAAUUUGGCAAAUAAACAUAAAUGAAUAAAACCAGCCUGCUUUGUUAUGAAUUCUCUGACUUCAUCUUCAGUAAUUGUGGAGCCAUUUGAUCUAACAACAAAAGCCACUGGAACUUCUUUCAUUCUGCGGAAUAUUUUGACAGUUUGAUGCAUUAACAUGUUGUGUCAUAAGCGCGAUCUUAUUAUAAUUAGCGACUUACGGAACAACAGCAGCAUCUGAAAUGUUACUCCAUGUUUGUGCGCCGUUCAUGUUUUCUUAAAACUGUAUCUUGUUAUGAUUUUAUUAAAACGUAUGUUCCAUUGGGUAAAAUUAAGUCUGAGUAACAUGAUCUGAGCCUCUCUUGUAAGAUGCAAACACGAUGUUCAUAACUUGAUACUGAGAAUGUGCCAAGAAAGUACCUCAAAUCCAUCAGCAAGUAGAUUCAACCCAAGCCUCUAAAUUCCUGGCAAUAGUCUGAUAAUUUUUAGGUACCUCAAAUCCAUUGACACCCUUUGCUCGGUUGGUAACAUUCUCUGUUGUUACAAUGUCACACAUCCAUGAUUUGAAAAAGUAGAGUGUGGUGUAGAAUCACUAUGAAAAUGUAGGAUAAAAUAGAAGUAGUUAAAUAAUAAGUAAAGACAAAAAGAGAAUAAAAUAUUAAGCUAACGAUGUGAUCACACAAAAUGAGUUGUUUCGUCGUUACCUAUAAAUUUAAACAUACAAUAAAAUUUGAAUAACAAUCAAAACAAAUAUUAUAUUUAAAUUAACAAUACAAUAUAGUACAAGUUGAGGUGAAGUCCCUAGAAUAACUCCACGAUUAAAGAAGAUUACAUAAAUAAACUAGACAUUAGAAAGCUAGAAAACAAUACACUUUUCCCUUUGUUUGAUAAAAAAAAAAAAAACUACCAUAUAAACAUCAUAUCCAACAGAUAAUUCCCUCAAGUACUGCAUUAACAAGCAUGAUUAUUUAUCCAAUUUAUUCCACAUUUAUAACAAAACUGUGAUCCACACCUGCAAGUCAUAUGCAAGCAUCCCUCAGUUUUCUCGACGAAAAAUCUGCAAUAAGGACAUCUAGUCCACUGUUUCGCCUUUGCUAAUUCCUUCACCAUUAAAUCUUCUCUGCUUCUUUCAUCCACAUUCAUUUCCCGAAACUCUUCGCAUUGAACUCCACAAUGCCACGGCACAUAACAUUGUGCGCAGAACAAUCUCCGGCAAACAGGACACUCCGAUUCCCUAACUAUAUCGUCCGAAUCGUUCACUAGCAUUGCCGAACAAUCUUUAUAUGGACAGUAGAAUUUCUCCGAGGCAAGAAUAAGCGAUUCACACAACAAAUCGUCCCAACUAUUACGUACAUCUUUAGGUAUAAUCGAAAUGCACGUUCCGAAAUCGAGAAUUCCCCUGCAAGCUACACCAGGACAUGUCACAACGUGAAUUUUGUCCUGGAUUUUUAUUGAGACGUGCUUGUUAAUACAAUCAGUACAAAAAACGUGGCUGCAAGAUUCAAUUGUGAACAUUUCAUCAAUUUCUUUUCUCUCUGCACAAAUCUCGCAGAAACUUAACGAUGAUUCGCCGAUUUCAGGUUGAUCUACAAUACUCUCCUCUGCAGGGGAAUUGGUCGAGUUUUGAUUGAAAAUUGUUGAACUCAUUAUUAUUUCUUGAUCCUGGAGUUGUUCAGCAUAUUUGUCAUCUGAUAUUGAAAAGUUUUCGACAUUUUGGAUUUCGUCAAAAAGUAAUGAGAAGUAAAAAUCAUCACAAAACAAAUCAAAGGCAGCUUCAUUUGCCAUUUGAUCAAAAUGAUGAGUUAUUUGAUUUGAUUUCUAUAUAUGAACUAUUGGAGUGCCUCGACGAGUUACUUAAGUAGUAAGAAGUCUAGUCUCAUUGGAAAACCAAACAAGUUUUUCAAACUUUUAGACUUCUCUAAAUAUAUUAUGGUAACUGAAAAUUUUUAUUUUGUACGAGGCACAAGUAUGAGGUGAUCGACAAUAAGCCUCUACUAAUAUUGUGCCAAGUGGAAAGUUGGGUCCCAUUUCAGAAAAUGGCCCAAAUUCCUUUGUCUUUCUCUUCUUUUCAACGAUUUUUUUCUCUUUAUUACUUUUUUUACCUCUUUUUCUUUGGUUUUUCUUUUCCAAAUAUUAUUCCAAAUUUUUUACUUUAAAAAUUUUAUUCAUGGAAAAUAAUAUUGUGCCAAGUGGAAAGUUGGGUCCCAUUUCAGAAAAUGGCCCAAAUUCCUUUGUCUUUAUCUUCUUUUCAACGAUUUUUUUCUCUUUCUUACUUUUUUUACUUCUUUUUCUUUGGUUUUCCUUUUCCAAUUAUUGUUCCAAAUUUUCUACUUCCAUACUUUAAUAAUUUUAUUCAUGGAGAAUAAUAUUGUGCCAAGUGGAAAGUUGAGUCCCAUUUCAGAAAAUGGCCCAAAUUCCUUUGUCUUUAUCUUCUUUUCAACGAUUUUUUUCUCUUUCUUACUUUUUUUACUUCUUUUUCUUUGGUUUUCCUUUUCCAAUUAUUGUUCCAAAUUUUCUACUUCCAUACUUUAAUAAUUUUAUUCAUGGAAAAUAUGCUAUUCAAAAUUUUUUACCUGAUUUAUUCUAUUUCUAACAUUUUGAUAUUAUUUUUUCAUCUCGAAAUUAAUUAUUUAUAUUACUAAAAAUAGUUGGAUAAAAUUAUUUGUUAAUUUACAAAGAUAUAAUUAAUUACAAGUUCUCUAUUUUAUUAUAACAAUAUUUCUUUUUGAAAGUGUAAAUAAAAUUUAUAAAGUUAAAAAUAAUAAUUAGGUGUAAAUCAGUAAAACUAUUAUUUUAUUUAUGAUUUCUUAAGAAAUUUGUAAAAGAAAAAGUAGACUAUUAAUAUGAAAAACAAAGAAGGUAUAAAAUUAAUUUGUUCUUUUAUUCUUCUCAACAAUUUCAGAAUUCCAAAAGCACUUAAAUCCAUCAAAUACUCUUCAAAAAGAAAAUAUAACGGAAAGAGCAUCAAUGAUCUUGACAAACGAUUACAUAAGUUUUGAUACUAUUUUCAUGAAAUUCAAAAACGAAAAGCAUCCAUAANNNNNNNNNNNNNNNNNNNNNNNNNNNNNNNNNNNNNNNNNNNNNNUUACUUAUAUCUUGAUUUUAUAAACCGAAAAUUAAAUACAAAUAAAAAUUUAUUAUUAUAUAAUAUGAAUUUAUACAUAGAAUAGAAAAAAUAAUAUUAUAAUAAUAAAGUAAAAACUUAUAUAAUGAUGAUAAAAAUUAAAUCAAAAUUCACUACAUAAAAAGGAAAAAUCAUAAACUAAUUAGAUCAAAAUAUAAAAUUAGAUUUGGUUAAAAAAUCUUAAAGAAGAAAAAAUAUUUGAAAACAUAAAAACACAAAUAGACUGAAUAGGGGCGUAAAUGAAAAAAAAAUGAAGGAGGAAACUCUAAAAAAGGUCACUUAGUUAGCUUGGAAAUGGCAAAAAGAAUAAUUGUUAUAAUAAAAUAGAAAAAUUAUAAUUAAUUAUAUCUUUGUAAAUUAACAAAUAAUUUUAUCUAACUAUUUUUAGUAAUAUAAAUAAUUAAUUUUGAGAUGAAAAAUAAUAUCAAAAUGUUAGAAAUAGAAUGAAUCAGGUAAAACAUUUUGAAUUUCAUAUUUUCCAUGAAUAAAAAUAUUAAAGUAUGGAAGUAGAAAAUUUGGAACAAUGAUUGGAAAAAAAAAACCAAAGAAAAAGAAGUAAAAAAAGUAAGAAAAAGAAAAAAAUCAUUGAAAAGAAGAGAGAAAAAGGAAUUUGGGUCAUUUUCUGAAAUGGGAUCCAACUUUCCACUUGGCACAAUAUAAGUAGAGGCUCAUACAAGUAUUAUCGGCCACCUCAUACUUGUGCCUCGUACAUAAUAAAAUAUUUCAUGGUAACUCGAUAGCUUAAAAGUCAAAACUUAUCACUAUGAUUUGAUACUUUCUUUUGUCCAUUUUAGUUGUCAUUUUUAUUAAAAAUAACAAGACAAAAUAAUAAUUAUUUUAGAAAAUCAACCUAGCCCUGUUGCCAUUAAAAAAGAUAAGCUAGAAAGAAAACUUAUAAUGUUUCAAUAAAUUCACGGGAUUUCUGGUGAAAAUUUUUUUACAUGACUAAAUGCAAUAUGAUAUCAAAUCAAUAGUAAAAGACAUUUAAAAAAAAAUUUGAAGUCCCUUGCAUUCAAAUUUACAUACAUUUUCCUCCUUUUGCCAAAUUGGUUAAUUAAUUUUAACCGUAUAGAGGCAGGUGGUUGAACGUACAAAUACAAUUCAAAGAACAAAAUACGUAACUUUUAAUAAUGAAAAAAAGAACUGGUUAUAGUUAUUGUCGAUCGCCAUUAAAGUAUAAAGUAGUAUUUAAUUUGGAAAUCCAGCAGCUAAUUUAGCUCUCAA